RNAcentral lists this long non-coding RNA (660 nucleotides) under Toxoplasma gondii VEG. Lineage: Eukaryota; Apicomplexa; Conoidasida; Eucoccidiorida; Sarcocystidae. The record is from RNAcentral.
CAAUUGGUCUGUAAAAGUCUUUUGAAACCAAAUGCUAAGUCAGACUCAAACCUCUACUGGUCUACCUUUGCUUGUGUCUCUUCCCGUACUUAUCUGUGUCUGGCGGGUCGGCAGUCUCUCCGGCGGCGCAAAUGAGACACGAGGGGAGCCGACGCCAGCGACGGCAUCUGCGCAGAGAGGCAACAAUUUCGUUCUAUGUAGUUGCUCCCCAUUCUCUCCAGAUAAUUGAAUGCCCGCAUACAUUCUGCGCUGCUUAACGCGUAACGUUACUACUACGUCCCGCCUACGUAUUACCCCAACAGUGAAGUCGUUUAAGGUCGAUCCCAGGCAGAAACGGUAAAACCGAAGACCAGCUGGCUGUCACAAGGCAGCCAGCACAGGGGGUAUUCAGUUCUAUUUAUGACAUUUUUCUUUUGCAGAACAAUGUGGUCUCUUUAAGAUCUCGGUCCAUGGGGUUUUUCUCUAUGGCAAUAGACUGGAGGAAUUUCCUGAGCUAGAAGAACCUCCUCUCUAGAGUCCGCUCUUGAAGAAGGGCCGUGUUUCUGUAAGGAGACAGGCGAGUGUCGAGUUUCCGGUUUACCAGUCAGUGGAGGGAAGGUCCGUGUAUGAUGACUACAGCAAACAAACAGUGUGAAGUUUACAUUUGAAAAGGAGUGAAGC